RNAcentral lists this long non-coding RNA (213 nucleotides) under Elaeis guineensis (African oil palm). Its description in RNAcentral is "long non-coding RNA (EGUI_LNC079620)". The record is from RNAcentral. Lineage: Eukaryota; Viridiplantae; Streptophyta; Magnoliopsida; Arecales; Arecaceae.
UCACCUAAUUAGAGAAGAAGUUUUAGUCCUUUUGGACAUUUUCGUUGUGCUUGAGUCAAACUCAAUUUUAAUCCUAAUCUAAUUAGAAUUUAGUGUAUUCAUAAAUAAGAGAAUUCUUAGUCCAAAUAGAAAUUUAAAUAUUCUUAGUUAAAUCCUAGUCUAAUUAAAAAUUAAGUCAAACUCAAAUCCUAAUUCAACAAAAAUUAUUCUCCC